Molecule: long non-coding RNA, 508 nt
Organism: Microcebus murinus (gray mouse lemur)
Lineage: Eukaryota; Metazoa; Chordata; Mammalia; Primates; Cheirogaleidae
Source: RefSeq, a predicted model, not a curated record
UCCCGGCUUCGCCUCGUUACUCCGCAACCCCGCCCGAGGUCCUGCUGCUCUGGGCGUUGAGGCCUCUUGGGGGCGCAGGCUUCACCCCUUUUUUUUUUCCUCCAGUCUGGAUCACUUAAAAGCUCCAGAUCAAAUAAUCAUGUGUCCAGCCAGAUGGAAAUUCAGAAAAUCAGGAGCCUCUUAGUGAAAGAUGGUAGUGUGCUAUCCAGCCUGACCCCAAGCUGACCUUCCCACUUGAGGAAGAGGAAAUGAGUUCAAGUGGAACAUACUGACACCCAACUCAGCUGCUCACAUACCCUAAAGUAGAAGGCAUCUCAGCUUGAUACUUCCAUCUGGGCCAGGACUGAGGAUAAACACUGCUGGGAAUCCCCCAAUCACUGGGAUGUGUUGGAAAGUACUACACUCCAGUACAGCCCCAUCCACUCAUUCUCACACCCAAAUCCAGAUAGCUCAGCUGGAUUGGAAAAGUUAAAAAAUAAAAUAUAACAGCAAACAUUUAUAUAGUGCU